AUUGAACGCUGGCGGCAUGCCUUACACAUGCAAGUCGAACGGUAACAGGUCUUCGGAUGCUGACGAGUGGCGAACGGGUGAGUAAUACAUCGGAACGUGCCCGAUCGUGGGGGAUAACGAGGCGAAAGCUUUGCUAAUACCGCAUACGAUCUACGGAUGAAAGCGGGGGAUCUUCGGACCUCGCGCGGACGGAGCGGCCGAUGGCAGAUUAGGUAGUUGGUGGGGUAAAGGCCUACCAAGCCUGCGAUCUGUAGCUGGUCUGAGAGGAUGAUCAGCCACACUGGGACUGAGACACGGCCCAGACUCCUACGGGAGGCAGCAGUGGGGAAUUUUGGACAAUGGGGGCAACCCUGAUCCAGCCAUGCCGCGUGCAGGAUGAAGGCCUUCGGGUUGUAAAC
This 398-nucleotide ribosomal RNA is filed under the name uncultured bacterium. RNAcentral describes it as "bacterial SSU rRNA". It matches the Rfam family "Bacterial small subunit ribosomal RNA", at positions 30 to 430 of the family's 1533-position model. The record is from RNAcentral.